UGAGCAAUCUGCCCUUCUCAUCGGAAUAACCAUUGGAAACGAUGGCUAAUGCCGAAUACGACCUCCUUUCGCAUGAUCGGAGGUGGAAAGCUCCGGCGGAGAAGGAUGAGCUCGCGGCCUAUCAGCUAGUUGGUGUGGGUAAUGGCCCACCAAGGCGACGACGGGUAGUCGGCCUGAGAGGGUGACCGGCCACACUGGGACUGAGACACGGCCCAGACUCCUAGGGAG
This 228-nucleotide ribosomal RNA is filed under the name uncultured bacterium. RNAcentral describes it as "partial 16S ribosomal RNA". It matches the Rfam family "Bacterial small subunit ribosomal RNA", at positions 118 to 347 of the family's 1533-position model. The record is from RNAcentral.